AAAUUGAAGAGUUUGAUCAUGGCUCAGAUUGAACGCUGGCGGCAGGCCUAACACAUGCAAGUCGAACGGUAACAGGAAGCGCUUGCUGCUUCGCUGACGAGUGGCGGACGGGUGAGUAAUGUCUGGGAAACUGCCUGAUGGAGGGGGAUAACUACUGGAAACGGUAGCUAAUACCGCAUAACGUCGCAAGACCAAAGAGGGGGACCUUCGGGCCUCUUGCCAUCGGAUGUGCCCAGAUGGGAUUAGCUUGUUGGUGGGGUAACGGCUCACCAAGGCGACGAUCCCU
Molecule: ribosomal RNA, 286 nt
Filed under: Shigella flexneri
Lineage: Bacteria; Pseudomonadati; Pseudomonadota; Gammaproteobacteria; Enterobacterales; Enterobacteriaceae
Description: partial 16S ribosomal RNA
Rfam family: Bacterial small subunit ribosomal RNA
Source: RNAcentral